UCCCCUCCCCGCCCCACCGCGUCCCAGGGAACCCCGGCAGGGCACCCAGUGAGGGGGGCCCGGGCGUCCGCCCAUUCCUCACUGCUGUCCCCGCCUGUGCCCGAAACCCCCGUUCACGUUCACCGAGAAAACAGACAUAAACCCAGCCAGGCACAUCCACUAGAAUGGCUGUGAUUUCAGAAAAGCGGACGUAAGUGCUGCCGAGGAGAUGGAGGCGUUGGACCCCCUCGCGCAUUGUCGGGGCGGGUGCAGCCGCGGUGCAAAAGGACCUUCCUCAGAAAGUUGAGCACGAAGUUCCCACAGGCCCGGAAGUUCCCCUCCCGGGCGCUCCCCAGAGAGCUGAAGACUGGGCGCGUGCCGGCGGCAAAUGUUCACAGCAAAGGGCGGCCCAGUGCGCAGCUGGAACAUCAGCCCCAGGCGGUCGCUGCGACAGGGACGAGCCUGGGAAACGUGAAAAUGUCCAGAACAGGGAAUCCACAGAUAAAGAAAAGACAUCGUGGUUGCCAGAGCUCGCGGGAGGGGGCAACAGGGACCGACUGCUUAACGUGUAUGGUUCCCCUUCAGGGUGAGGACGUGUUCUGGGACGAGGUCGAGGUCAGGGUUGCAGGACAAGAUGAAAGCGCUAAAUGCCACUGAAUUGUUUGCUUUAACGUCAUUAAUUUUGUUAUGUGAAUUUCAUCUCAAUAGAAUAAAUAGGUCAAGCUGGCUGCAGGGCCCACCCCACCGCGGCCUGGAGCAGGGUCUUCUGGGGUGUACCACCUCUGCCCUCACCCAGGCUCCACCACGACCAGCUUCGUCCACCCCCCAGGAGACCAUGAAGGCCCACGUCUGAAAUCCUCACUAAGCCCACCCUCCCAUCUCCCUGAACUACGGUGGAUUUGUUCGUGAUCAGCCCCACACCUGUUAGAAUGGAAGCUGCAGGCAGCAGGAACCAGUGUGGCCAAGUCGGAGGGCAGCACAAGCCGGUCCUCCUCGUGGACAGCAGAGGAUAAAACCGAGAAUAAGGAACUUUACAUUGUCAAUGAUCAAACACCUAGUGCACCCAUGGCCGUGCGUCCGCAGGACAAAGCAGCCUUUGGAGCCCUGGAACUUAAGAUGUCCAGAGAUCAGCAGCUCUCGGCUCAGGCCCAGGCAGCUGGACAGCACCCAGCGCCUCCUCCAGGUCCUCCUGGGUCCCCUCCUUUCUUUCACUUUCAGCCCGGGAAUCUCUGUGAAGUCCUAGCUGAUAACUAAGGGGUUAAUGAAUAAUCACAGUGAUGAGCUCUGGAGGAGCCAUGGCCCAGAGCAGCUGUGGCCUCCUUUGAUUAAACCACAGAAGUCCGGAGGAUCAGGCCUCAAACCUCCACCACCUGCCAGCUGGCACCUGUGAAGGAGGUGGGACCAGCACCCACCUCACAGUGGCUGCAGGGUCACCUGAGAUGGUGAUUGCAAAGUGCUGAGCCAUCGGGACACAUAUUUCCAAGACCUCCUGAGUGCCGGCUGGCCCCUGGAGCAGAGAUGAGACCCCUGUGGGGCCUACAGUCCAGUUAUGAAGGCAGGGUUCCUGUGUAAGCCAGCAGGCCCAGUUCUGGAAAGGCCAGGAUGUGGGUUCAGAAGCUCAAGGACAAUGGACUCAUUCUGACUGGAGGGAUCCAGGAAGGCUUCGUGGAGGAAGUGGCAUUUGACAUUGGCAUCAAGGAUGAACAGGAAUAGAGAGAGGGGACUGGUGUCUGCGUGAAGGAUCGCCAAAGCGCUGUUCUGGGGUGAGGGCGAUCAGCCCCUCCUGCCCCUCCUGAACUAUGAGGCUCGGGAGCCUUUGGCAGAAGGUGGCUCUGCACGCCCCAGGUGCAAGCUUGGAGCUUCCUUUUCUGCACUCCACAGCAGGAAGAAGGGCAGUGUGAACUGCUCACCACUGUCUUCCUGGGUUUGCAGCUCUGCGCCUGGCACAGAGACAGGCUCAGUGACGGUUGAAGGAAUCGGAGAAAUAAUGAAAAGUGUGUUCAUCCUGCAGGCAGCAGAGCCUCGGGUUAACCGUUAACGUCAGGAAAUGACAGAUCCAACGCUCCUGCUUGGGGCAGCGUGGAGGCCAGCGGAGGAACUGCAGGAGCCUAAAGGAGAUGGCGCGCGGGCCUGGCUCAGGAGAGCAGCCGUCUGAAAGAUGGCGGCGAAGGGUGCGGGAGGAGAUGCCCCGGGCAGGGGCUUGGCGGGGUCUGGCACCAAACUUCCCAAAGCAGCUGCCUCUGUGAACUGUGCCUGGCAGGGAGGGAGCCACACCGGGAGUGACCCUAGACGCUGGCUCCCCAGGGGUGACUGGAGGCAGUGUCUCCCGCCCAUGUGGGCCUCCGGCUUGGGGUCCCCAGAGCUCUGCCCUGCUGCUGGCUGCACUGAGAGAGGUGGCCUUCUGAAUGGGCCCUGUCCCCGGGGAGCCUCUGGUAAAGAGAUUCACCUGCACCCUCAAAACACGCCAUGCCCAUUGGAGGCUCUGGGUGCAGGCUGCCCCUCAAACAGAGAAAAACCACACGCUGUUUAAGACCCAAACCAAGGAGACAGCCCCUCAUGCCCCCUUCUAUCUCCCCUUCUGUCCAGGGCCCCCUGCCUGCUCUGGUCCACCCCGUCCUGACCCCCUCUGCCUGUUCAUCUGAGGGCCGUGAGCCAAGGCCUGGGCCUGGCCAAGGGUCAGGGAUCCUGGGACCUGCUUGAGACCAUGCCCCAUACACUCCUUCGGCCAGAAGGUCAGCCGUAGAGACAAACCCCCACCCUGAGCCCGCAGUGUCAGCAACGCCCUGUCCUCAGUGCCAGGCAGUGUCAGGCUGAGACCCGGGCCACCUGAUCCAACGUCCACUCCAAGCAAGCCAGAGCCAGGUGCUGCCAGCCUGCCCAUGUGCACACGUUAGCAGACAGGUUUCCUGGUGUGGCACACACGUGUUAUGACCGCGGCUGCUGCCCCCAGCCCAGAGUGCACUUCCGGGUAAUCCAGCACCCUGAGGCUUCACUGCUCUCCUGAGAGUUUUCUAAGAUUAAAUCUCCUUCACAAUGACAGCCUCCUGUCACCUGGGCCCUGGUGACAAAGCCUUUGGAGAGGCAAGGACCCAGCCGGGGCAUUCACAGUGGGCAUGCUAUCCACCCUCCGCCCCUGUCCUGGCCCCCACAGUGGAGCCGCCACCUUGGGUAACAGGGGCUGCCUGAGGUCCUGGAGAAGGAAGAACCAGGUGGCCCACCUUCGGUGCACAGGGAACAGCAGGGACCUGACGGCAGCCCCCGCACCCCUCCCUGGGCUGAAGUUCAGGCUGUCUCAUCCCUUGCCAGGAGCUCAGGGCUGAGCUAGGUUGGCAGGGGAUGGGUUGAGGGUCUGUUGUCCAGCAGAUUGCCCGGGCCCCACCCAGGCCACUCAGAAAACACCUGUGAGAGCCCCGCAGGCAUGCAGGGCACUGUCGUGAGCACACCAGUGGGGACAGACGUCCAGGCAGGAGGGAGCAGCCAGACCCCCAUCCCGCCAGGGUCACCAGGUGAGCAAGGCUGGGGAACAAUGGAGGCGGAGCCCCGCGACUGCCCAGCUCACUGCCCCCAGUGUCCAGGCUGUGGUGCAGGCGUGGGGACCCAGGUGUGUUCAGGGGUCUCCUUCAGGGAAGGAGACCAAGCUGGGAGUCUGGGGAGGCUGAGGUGUGAGGUGACAGCAGGUAAAGAGUGAGCCACAAUCAGCAUUUUCACAUGAAAGGAAACUACAGGCCUGGGCGCAGUGGCUCACGCCUGUAAUCCCGGCACUGUGGGAGGCUGAGGUGGGAGGAUCACCUGAGGUCGGGAGUUCGAGACCAGCCUGACCAACAUGGAGAAACCCCAUUUCUACUAAAAAAAAUACAAAAUUAGCUGGGCAUGGUGGCGCAUGCCUGUAAUCCUAGCUAUUCGGGAGGCUGAGACAGGAGAAUCACUUGAACCCGGGAGGCGGAGGUUAUGGAGAGCCAAGAUCGCACCACUGCACCCCAGCCUGGGCAACAAGAGUAAAACUCCGUCUCAAAAAAAAAAAAAAAAGAAGAAAGAAAAAGAAAAAAAGAAAGGCAACUACAGAAGGUGAGGAGAACCACCCGAGAUCACCAGAGGGAACCGUGGAAGGUCCGUGGUCCACCAGCCAGGCUGGGGCACCUCAGCCCCUGGGCAGAGCACCAAGCAGGGCCGUGCCCUGGUAAAGGAGGGCACAGUCAGCCCCAGACUACAAGCUGCCUUGGUCCUCCCAGCAGGGCUUAAAAGCAAGACCCCAAAGGACCAAACAGCUUCCAAGUAACUUCCUGGAGUCCUGAGCAAAGUAAGCUUUUCUCAGCUUUGCUACAAAAAUAGUCAGCACCCAGCAAAAUUCACAAUCCCUGUCACCCAUUCAAAAAUCACCAGGCAUGCGAGGAAGCAGGAAAAGGAAAAUGCACCCAGAAGAGAAGGAGCACCCAUCAACGGGGCCGCCUCAGAAGCAACAGACGACCGGGCAAGUCCAAGGGCACCGAGGCACCUGCCACCACUGCGCCCAGCACUCCCGAAGCCAGAGGGCAGAUUGAGGUUCAGAGAAGUCAGAAGCCUUCCCAAGGCUGCACAGCCAGAAGUGGGCACAGCGUCCUGGGGUGAGGGCUCACACCAUCUGCGCCACCUGCCCUCCAGGUCCCACCAUCCUCACAAAUUCAAGGCAAGGUUCUGGAACCCCCAGCCCUCCAGAAAGGGGAAGCUGAGCCCAGGAAGCACAUCUGAGAGUUCGGCCACCGGCACGGCCACCCCAGUGUGAUUCCUCAGCAGCCACACAGAAGACAGAUGGUCCAUAGGAGACUCAGAAACAGAGAAGCCUCACGCCAGGUCCACAGAGGCACCCACGCCCGCCAAAAGGAUGCCACGCACUCACCCUGCCCUCUGGGGAGCACAGUGGGAGUCCAGGACACCGCCUUGGAUGGGGUGAGGCUCCGUCUGUGACCUCAGAAAGUCAGUCUGGGGCUGGACUUGACAUGGGAAACAGAAUAAAACUGCCUGUCCACCUGA
RNAcentral lists this long non-coding RNA (4986 nucleotides) under Homo sapiens (human). RNAcentral's name for it is "HSALNT0289679". The record is from RNAcentral. Lineage: Eukaryota; Metazoa; Chordata; Mammalia; Primates; Hominidae.